Molecule: transfer RNA, 73 nt
Filed under: Ixodes scapularis (black-legged tick)
Lineage: Eukaryota; Metazoa; Arthropoda; Arachnida; Ixodida; Ixodidae
Rfam family: tRNA
About the family: Transfer RNA (tRNA) molecules are approximately 80 nucleotides in length. Their secondary structure includes four short double-helical elements and three loops (D, anti-codon, and T loops).
Source: Rfam by way of RNAcentral
UCCUGGUUAGUUCAGUUGGUAAAGCGCUCCACUGGAAAUGGAGAGGACCCUGGUUCCAUACCAGGACCAGGCG